CCGUGCAUAGCUCAGUCUGGUUAGAGUGCAUGCUUUGGGAGCAUGAAGUCGGAGGUUCGAAUCCUCCUGCACGGACCA
This 78-nucleotide transfer RNA is filed under the name Gammaproteobacteria bacterium. RNAcentral's name for it is "tRNA-Pro". It matches the Rfam family "tRNA". Rfam says of the family: Transfer RNA (tRNA) molecules are approximately 80 nucleotides in length. Lineage: Bacteria; Pseudomonadati; Pseudomonadota; Gammaproteobacteria. The record is from RNAcentral.